Carassius auratus (goldfish) is the source of this 2551-nucleotide long non-coding RNA. Ensembl lists it as uncharacterized. The record is from Ensembl. Lineage: Eukaryota; Metazoa; Chordata; Actinopteri; Cypriniformes; Cyprinidae.
AUGGCCAGCGUAAAGUGCCGUAGGAAUUGUAGAUUAUUGCAAAAUUUAAUGCCAAUAUGUGCUUGCCUGCAGCCUGUUGUGGUGGAAGAGAAAAAGCCGGUUGAGGUGCAGGUCGACGCGUCUAAGAGCAGCACUCUCGAGGCCGCUGCAAAACCUGAAGAUCCUCCAGCACCAAAACCAGAGGAGAAGAAACCAGAGAAGAAAUCCACUUUGGAAGCAUGUUUAAACCCAAGGCACCAGAGCCCAAGAAGGAGACUCCAGCUGCUCCUCCUGCGGCAGAAGCUGCUCCACCUGCGAAGGCCAAAGAAGAGUCACCGCAAGCGACCCCGGACAACAAAUCAGCCGAAAGCACAGAGAACGCCUCCCCAAACAUGCCCCACAAGCUGGAGAAGAGGAACUCCUUCCAGCUGUUCUUCAAAAACCUGGCUAAGUAGAAACGCAGAGAUUCUCCAGGGCUAGGGAUCCCACUCAAACCUGUGAGCAUUUGCAAUCUGUGUAGUUUAACUCUUCAGCUGUAUGUAGUUUUCCGGUUAAAUGCUGUCGAGAAACAUUUCGUAAUUCUGUCCGAUGUCUAACCAUCCGGAGUAUUUUGAUAUUGCUGGCUAUUAAUCUUAAAACAGUGAUCUGUGAGGUGAUGAAAUGAUUAAUUGCAUCCAAACAAGUGUUUUAUUAUGUAAACAAAAACUUUAUUUUGGAUGCGAUUAAUCGGCAAUAAUUACAAUACAAAAAUCAACAUUCACAGGGUGUGAACACCAUAUGGCAUCAAUUGCCAACCUAUCUAGAUUAUUAAAUUAAUUCCACAUCAGUUUAUUUGAAUUUUAAUAAAUGCUGAUUUAAAAAAAAAGUGAUAAUAUUUAAUUAAAUUGGGCGCAAAUAUAUUGCAUGUACAUUUUUUUUAUUGCAUGGAAUCUAAUAAUAUUGCAUUAAAUUUAAUUAUCUAAAUAUGUAAUUCUAAUCUUUGUUGCAAUGUAUAACUUCUCCAUAAAUAAACUAUUUUUUUUUGUCAUGUAAUAUGAAUAUAAUUGUCCCCAAUUAUUGUUAUUUCAAGUGGGAUCGUCCCUGUCAGUUUUCUCAGAAAAAAAAACAUGACAACUAAAUUAGCGCAGAUAAUAAAGCACAGAAAUUGUCCAAAGUUGCUCUGGAUUCGCUUUAGUAAAUAAAAGCCCAGUUGUCAGGUGGGUUGCAAAGGGUUUUGCUUCAGACACCAUUAUGGACGAGUGGUAAAAAACACACACUUUCUUGCUAAGUUAGGAUCUCUAAUGUUGCGUUAUGCGUUGGUGUGUCUCACAAAAACGCCAUUCUGAUGCCGGAGUGCAAACGGAGCCUGCGGCACCCGAGAAGGCCAAAUAAAACCCCACCUUUGUUUUGAUCGCUCAUCUCUGCCAAAACCAUUGCGCAUAAGAACAUAUUUGCCAUAGAUGGGAGGUAUUAUGCUGAUUUACGAGGCCCAAAUUUGAAGUAACUAUCAAAUAAUAAUCCCCAUGCAUUUAGUGAGAGCAGAAGCAAGUGUAAUGAUAUACACUGUUAAGCAAGUGCCACAUGUGUUUUCGACUGGAGGGAGGAACUUGUUUGUUUUCCUGCAGAGAACCGUGUCAGAGUUGUGUGUUGUGGCAUGAGAUGGAAAAGUGAAAGUGAAAAUGCAAUCCUGCAUUUCAGAUAAACUCCCUUUUCUGUGCAUGAUAAAAUGUCAAAUAUGUUAACUGAACUAACACUAUUGUCGUAUUGCAUUGCAAUUCACAUGCAUUAUGCAUUAAAAGCAUUGCAUUUUCACCUGGACAAAGCAAACAUCAUGCAUGUUUACAUGUGAAAAGAAAUUAUUUAUGUAAUCAUACACUAUCUGAUCUGAAAACAAUGACCUGUUGUCUGCUUAUUUCAAUCACUGAAACCUACAAAGCCAACUUGAAUUCCACUUAAAGCGCAAAACUUCUGAAUCACCAUAGAAAUCAAAAUAGUUUAUUUAACAUAAUGUCAAUCAAACUGAGCACCGUAUAUUAUAACAACUUACUUGGUCAUUUAAGUUUUCAACAAAAAAAAAACCUACACUUUGUUUUCAUUUCCACUUAGAAGAUUUAUUUAUUUAUUAAUCAUGACUUACUAACUAAACCACAUUGCAAUUAUUGUCUUGUUAUUUGCUUGGCCGUCCGGUUCUGAUCAGGGGAGACUAAAAAGAAAUUAAUCUAGUUAAAUAUUUUAUUGUAUUUCUUAUUUUUAUGAACAGUACAGUUUGAGAUAAAUUUGUGGUAUACAGUUAGGCCAUAUACAAUGUACAUUCAACUCUGCAGUCGCAUUUACUUUAUGAUUUUCUUCCUAAUUUUCUCUACAUUUGUAAAGAGUAGAAGGGCCAUAUUCAGAAUUCAGACUAUAUGCAUGAAUCUUAUACUGUCUGUAUCUUCUUUGUUGCAUAUUUCUCUAUUUAACCAAUGUAUAAAAAUAAAAUAAUAAUUUCUCUCCUCUGUAAAAUGACUCAUUCUGUAUUUAAAACUAUGAAGAAAUAUAUAUAUAAAUUGAUUUCUACAUUUUCUGAAAAAAAAGGUGUAAAACCACUAUGCAA